This 460-nucleotide ribosomal RNA is filed under the name uncultured Methylomirabilota bacterium. RNAcentral's name for it is "bacterial SSU rRNA". It matches the Rfam family "Bacterial small subunit ribosomal RNA", at positions 977 to 1434 of the family's 1533-position model. The record is from RNAcentral. Lineage: Bacteria; Methylomirabilota (SeqCode).
GGGCUUGACAUCCCACGAACCUGCCCGAAAGGGUAGGGUGCCCGCAAGGGAGCGCGGAGACAGGUGGUGCGUGGCUGUCGUCAGCUCGUGUCGUGAGAUGUUGGGUUAAGUCCCGCAACGAGCGCAACCCUCACCCCUUGUUGCCACCGGGUAAUGCCGAGCACUCUAGGGGAACUGCCAGCGUCAAGCGGGAGGAAGGCGGGGAUGACGUCAAGUCAUCAUGCCCCUUACGCCCUGGGCGACACACGUGCUACAAUGGCUAGUACAAAGGGAUGCAAGACCGCGAGGUGGAGCUAAUCCCAAAAAACCGGUCUAAGUUCAGAUUGCAGUCUGCAACUCGACUGCAUGAAGGAGGAAUCGCUAGUAAUCGCGCAUCAGCACGGCGCGGUGAAUACGUUCCCGGGCCUUGUACACACCGCCCGUCACACCACGAAAGCCGGCUGUACUCGAAGUCGCUGAG